GAGGGUGCACCUCAGUGGUAAGAGCGCUUGUCUUGCACACGUGAGGUCAUGGGAUCAAUUCCCAGCACCAUUA
Molecule: transfer RNA, 73 nt
Filed under: Fukomys damarensis (Damara mole-rat)
Lineage: Eukaryota; Metazoa; Chordata; Mammalia; Rodentia; Bathyergidae
Rfam family: tRNA
About the family: Transfer RNA (tRNA) molecules are approximately 80 nucleotides in length. Their secondary structure includes four short double-helical elements and three loops (D, anti-codon, and T loops).
Source: Rfam by way of RNAcentral